This 616-nucleotide ribosomal RNA is filed under the name Coelotanypus scapularis. RNAcentral's name for it is "eukaryotic LSU rRNA". It matches the Rfam family "Eukaryotic large subunit ribosomal RNA", at positions 450 to 900 of the family's 3401-position model. The record is from RNAcentral. Lineage: Eukaryota; Metazoa; Arthropoda; Insecta; Diptera; Chironomidae.
UUCAAUACUCUCAACGUAACGAAGAAUGGCCUGCACUUCUUUCUUAGUAAGACGGUGUGAUCCAUUAGGAAUUGAUUGUUCAUAAGUUMAMCAAUUAUUAGGUUACCAAUAGUAUGGUAUUGAAGUUCAUGAUUAUAAAUAAUAAAAUUAUUUUYGAUUUUAUAUAUUAUCCUCUGAGCAUAUCAUUAACUGGUGUAACUGCCUGAUGGAUUUUAAAGAUCAUAAUAUUGAUAUUUUCGAAUAUCACCAAACUAGCAAUAGUUGGAAUUAAUUAUGUAUCCGAUCAACAACGGUUUCAUUUGGGAUACCUUUGGGACCCGUCUUGAAACACGGACCAAGGAGUCUAUCUAAUAUGCAAGUAAAUGGGCGUUUAUGAAAACCUAUUUGCGUAAAUAACUUGACUGUUGUAUAACAAUGGGAUUACAAGUUAAAUUUUUUAUUAAAUUUAAUUUUUCCAUCCCGGGGUAUUUUCAUAAUAUAUAAUGGGCAACUAUUAUAUAGAAAAUAUACCAUGAGCAUAUUGGAUAUGACCCGAAAGAUGGUGAACUAUGCCUGAUCAGGUUGAAGUCAGGGGAAACCCUGAUGGAGGACCGAAGCAAUUCUGACGUGCAAAUCG